Mauremys mutica (yellowpond turtle) is the source of this 83-nucleotide non-coding RNA. The record is from the annotation of a RefSeq genome assembly. Lineage: Eukaryota; Metazoa; Chordata; Testudines; Geoemydidae.
GUGGUUGUGGCUGAGUGGUUAAGGCGAUGGGCUAGAAAUCCAUUGGUGUCUUCCCUGUGCAGGUUCGAAUCCUGCCAGCUACG